Molecule: non-coding RNA, 92 nt
Organism: Trichonephila inaurata madagascariensis
Lineage: Eukaryota; Metazoa; Arthropoda; Arachnida; Araneae; Nephilidae
Source: the annotation of a GenBank genome assembly
GUUAAUUGUUAAUUUAGCUAUCCAUCCAAUAUGGUGGAUAUGACGUUCGGCUUCUAACCGAGUGGGUUCGGGUUCGAAUCCCGAGUAAAACU